Long non-coding RNA from Canis lupus familiaris (dog), 2526 nucleotides. RefSeq lists it as uncharacterized. The transcript has 9 exons. Lineage: Eukaryota; Metazoa; Chordata; Mammalia; Carnivora; Canidae. The record is from RefSeq and is a predicted model, not a curated record.
UAGGCGCGGGCAGGUGGCCCAGAGGGCGCUCUGCAAGCUGUUGCCAAGUUUAGGAGUCUUUCAAGAUGUUGAUUUUAUUAUAUUCCUUUGUAGACGUGGCUCGCUUUAUAAGGACCAUGUUUCUGUGUCCCAGUGGGGGGCGAAAGCCCAUUUAUGAAACGAACAGUUGAGUGACCAAUUUUUGCUUUGAAUUUUUAUCUGGCGUUUGUUAAGAUUCUUGGGCUUCUAACAAGCAGUCCUUAUUAGAUACAGCUUUUCCUGUCAAGGCUCACGUUAUAGCUGAAGCACGAACAUAUAUUUUUUUUUUCUGAACACUGUAAUAAGAUAUGGAAGCUGACUUCUGAGGAGCCAAGUGUCUCACCCAUGGUUGCCCAGCUGGGGCCAACCACUGUCACAGGACUGCUGAACUGGUUACAUAAAUCUGCAGAGCCCAGUGCAGAGUGAAAAUGCAAGACCCUUCAUUCAAAAAGAACUCAUCAAAUAUGUCCUGUGAAGCUAUCUGGUUCAAGGACAUCUCCCCACUUUUCCAGAAAACAAAGGACAGUGAUAAAUUGCAGAGGAAGAAGAUAAUUUGACAGUCUUUUUCUGCUAAAGGCCUAUCCUAAAAGAAGCCAACUUAUACUUGAAACAUUGUGGUUGGAAACCAUCUUGUCAUGAACAAACUUACCAGGAAUUCAAUACAUCUAGCUUUCCAGUUCCUCUGUGGAAUACUUCAUCAUCUGGCAUAUGACCUCAGACCAUCUCCCAGCAUCUGUGUCUGCAGCCAUUGUACCUCAGCCUCUUGGGGCCAAGCAGGGCCCAUAUGUGUGCUUUGUGUGAAACAGCUCCCUGAAGCAGUUUUUGAAGCAGCAUGGGAGUGGAGGAGUCAUGAAGGCUGGUUCUACCCCAUGGUAUCACAGUGGUCAGGGUUUGGGGAGGGACAGUGGAAUACUUCUAGAAAAUCUUUUCAGUCCAGGUCUCUUGCUGCACAGCAGAGGGAAAACCAGAAUGAAUACUCCCUGGAAAGCCGGUCUGAGAAAAGGCACCCCAGAAGGGGGCUCGUUCAGGUGUUGCAUUUUCUUCUCUGGAGUUUGUCCACCAAAUACAUCACUUCACUCUGAAUGCUGUGCACAGUUGAUACAUGUCUUGCUUUUCUUCAAGGGGUGACUGAUUUGAUUAGACAAGGAAUUGACCCAGCGGAAAAUAGAAGAAUGAGCUUUCUGUCACUGUCCUUACUUCUAAACUCAAUUGCUUUAGGGAGAUUUUAUUGUUAAAAGGAAACUUUCACGUGUCUCUCUUGACUAAUAGACUUCUAUACUUGUAGAAGGAAAAAAAUAGAAUGUGAAUCAGUACUGUAUGUACUUUAAAAAGAAAACAAAACUCCUCUUCUAAAUUUUCCUGAAAAUAAUUUAAUUAUUUUAGAAUGAAUUGGAUGGUAUGUACAAAUGUUUAAGUAGUUUACUAUGUUACCUUAAGAGAGAAAACUGGAACAUAGGUUUUGCCAUAGUGAUGAUAAUACCUACCUAUACCUUCUCGUCUUGACUAUAUAAGGAUUCCAUAAUCUGGAAUUCACUGUACCUGUUUUCACACAAACUUUGAUAUCACAUGAGUGACAAAAAUGGAAAAAUACAGGAAGGGGAUUUUUUAUUUAGUAGAGGGAGAAGUCAGCUGAGUAGGCAAUUUUACAUCUUCUGGCCCUUUUUUGUUUACAGUGACCGUAUAGGAGCCAUGUAACAGUAUACCUUUUGCUUUCAUGAUUGGUUUUUCAACUUUAUUGAGGUAUAGAUGGAAUAUGAUAGACUAUAGACUACAUAUAUUCAAAAUAAAUAAUUUGGUGUUUGUGUAUAUACAUACAUAUAUAUUUAUAUGUACUCAGUAAUCCAUCACUAUUAUGAAAAUAAUGACUUUAUCUGUUACUACAAAGUUUACUUGUGCUUCUUUGUAACCCCUGAACCACUGAACUUGCUUAAGACCCUUAGGGAUCAGCUUUUUUGCCAUUUUAGAUUAGUUUAUAUUUUCCAUAAUUUGAUAUAAGUGUAAUCCAACAGUAUGUACCCCCUUCUAUCUGCCUUUUCCUUCAGCAUUAUUAUUUCAAUUUAGCAAUGAUGCUGCAUGUACCAUUAGUUCAUUUAUUACUGAGUCUUAGAUCCUUUUCUGGACAUUUUGUAAUUCAUUGUUCACUUGUUGAUGGACAUCUGGGUUGUUUCCAGUUUGGGGCUAUUACAAAUAAGACUGUGAUUAACAUUUGUGUUACAAGUCUUUAUAAGAACACGCAUUUUGAUUUAUUUAAAAAAAUUCUUUUUUUAAAAUUUAUCUUAGAACUAUAUUGCUAGGAGUGGAAUGGCUGGUUAUACGCCAGGUGUAUGUUUAACUUUUUGGAAAAAAAAAUCCAAACUAUUUGGCAAAACUAGUUGUGCCAUUUUACAUUUGCAGUAAUAGUGUUUGAGUGUUUAAUUUGCUCCAUAUUUUUUCCAUCCUACAUUGUCUUCCUAAUAACACACAUUCUAAAAGGUGUUUGCUGGUACCUCAUUGUGAUUUAAUUUGCAU